Molecule: ribosomal RNA, 268 nt
Filed under: uncultured bacterium
Lineage: Bacteria
Description: partial 16S ribosomal RNA
Rfam family: Bacterial small subunit ribosomal RNA
Source: RNAcentral
GUCCUGGCCCUAAACGGUGCGCACUUGCUGUGAGUAGAUUUAAAACCUACUCGUGGCGUAGUUAACACGUUAAGUGCGCCGCCUGAGGAGUACGGUCGCAAGAUUAAAACUCAAAGAAAUUGACGGGGGCCUGCACAAGCGGUGGAGUAUGUGGCUUAAUUCGAUGCAACGCGAAGAACCUUACAUGGUCUUGACAUGCAAGUAGUAGAAGCCUGAAAGGGUGACGAGGUAGCAAUACCAGCUUGCACAGGUGCUGCAUGGCUGUCGU